AUACGUAGGGGGCUAGCGUUAUCCGGAAUUACUGGGCGUAAAGGGUGCGUAGGCGGUCUUGCAAGUCAGAGGUGAAAGGCUACGGCUCAACCGUAGUAAGCCUUUGAAACUGUAGGACUUGAGUGCAGGAGAGGAAAGUGGAAUUCCCAGUGUAGCGGUGAAAUGCGUAGAUAUUGGGAGGAACACCAGUUGCGAAGGCGGCUUUCUGGACUGUAACUGACGCUGAGGCACGAAAGCGUGGGGAGCGAACAGGAUUAGAUACCCUGGUAGUCCACGCCGUAAACGAUGAGUACUAGGUGGCGGAGGUUACCCCCCUCGGUGCCGCAGCUAACGCAUUAAGUACUCCGCCUGGGAAGUACGCUCGCAAGAGUGAA
This 374-nucleotide ribosomal RNA is filed under the name uncultured bacterium. RNAcentral describes it as "bacterial SSU rRNA". It matches the Rfam family "Bacterial small subunit ribosomal RNA", at positions 523 to 898 of the family's 1533-position model. The record is from RNAcentral.